This is a Y RNA of Pongo abelii (Sumatran orangutan), 100 nucleotides long. It matches the Rfam family "Y RNA". Rfam says of the family: Y RNAs are components of the Ro ribonucleoprotein particle (Ro RNP), in association with Ro60 and La proteins. The Y RNAs and Ro60 and La proteins are well conserved, but the function of the Ro RNP is not known. The record is from Ensembl. NCBI's taxonomy places the organism in Eukaryota, Metazoa, Chordata, Mammalia, Primates, Hominidae.
GUUUGGUCCGAGUGCAGCGGUGUUUACAACUAAUUGAUCGCAAUCAGUUACAGGUUUUUUUGUUCCUUCUCUACUCCCACUGCUUCAAUUGACUAGUUAA